GAGUCAUUAGCUCAGCUGGUAGAGCACCGGACUUUUAAUCCGGGUGUCGGAGGUUCGAAUCCUCCAUGACUCACCA
Molecule: transfer RNA, 76 nt
Filed under: Bacillota bacterium
Lineage: Bacteria; Bacillati; Bacillota
Also listed under: 1 other name
Description: Firmicutes bacterium (anaerobic digester metagenome) tRNA-Lys
Rfam family: tRNA
About the family: Transfer RNA (tRNA) molecules are approximately 80 nucleotides in length. Their secondary structure includes four short double-helical elements and three loops (D, anti-codon, and T loops). Further hydrogen bonds mediate the characteristic L-shaped molecular structure. tRNAs have two regions of fundamental functional importance: the anti-codon, which is responsible for specific mRNA codon recognition, and the 3' end, to which the tRNAs corresponding amino acid is attached (by aminoacyl-tRNA synthetases). tRNAs cope with the degeneracy of the genetic code in two manners: having more than one tRNA (with a specific anti-codon) for a particular amino acid; and 'wobble' base-pairing, i.e. permitting non-standard base-pairing at the 3rd anti-codon position.
Source: RNAcentral